CGUGGUUCGUAGCCACGUGCUCUAAUCCUCUGAGCUACAGGCCCCACCCCGUCUCCACUGGAUCUCCGAGAUCCUUUCGAUGACCCAUUUCCAGUGGUGGACGGGUGAGCAACGUGUAAGAACCUGCCUUUGGGAGGGGAACAACAGCUGGAAACAGCUGCGAAUACCCCGUAGGCUGAGGAGCAAAAGGAAGAAUCCACCCGAGGAGGGGAUCGCGUCUGAUUAGCUAGUUGGUGAGGCAAUAGCUUACCAAGGCAAUGAUCAGUAGCUGGUCCGAGAGGAUGAUCAACCACACUGGGACUGAGACACAACCCAGACUCCUACGGGAGGCAGCAGUGGGGAAUUUUCAGCAAUGGGCGAAAGCCUGACGGAGCAAUGCUGUGUGGAGGUAGAAGGCCCACGGGUCGUGAGCUUCCUUUUUCGGAGAAGAAGUAAUGACGGUAUCUGGGGAAUAAGCAUCAACUAACUCUGUGCCAGCAGCCGCGGUAAUACAGAGGAUGCAAGUGUUAUUCGGAAUGAUUGGGCGUAAAGCGUCUGUAUGUGGCUUUUUAAGUCCGCCAUCAAAUCCCAGGGAUCAACACUAGACAGGCGGUGGAAACUACCAAGCUGGAGUAUGGUAGGGGCAGAGGGAAUUUUCGGUGGAGCGGUGAAAUGCGUAGAGAUCGGAAAGAACACCAACGGCGAAAGCACUCUGCUGGGCCGACACUGACACUGAGAGACGAAAGCUAGGGGAGCGAAUGGGAUUAGAUACCCCAGUAGUCCUAGCCGUAAACGAUGGAUACUAGGCGCUGUGCGUAUUGACCCGUGCAGUGCUGUAGCUAAUGCGUUAAGUAUCCUGCC
RNAcentral lists this non-coding RNA (840 nucleotides) under Solanum tuberosum (potato). Its description in RNAcentral is "Bacterial small subunit ribosomal RNA". It matches the Rfam family "Bacterial small subunit ribosomal RNA", at positions 71 to 873 of the family's 1533-position model. The record is from Rfam by way of RNAcentral. Lineage: Eukaryota; Viridiplantae; Streptophyta; Magnoliopsida; Solanales; Solanaceae.